GAUGAACGCUGGCGGCGUGCUUAACACAUGCAAGUCGAACGAUUAAGACGGCUUCGGCCGUGUAUAGAGUGGCGAACGGGUGAGUAACACGUGACCAACCUGCCCCGCGCUCCGGGACAACCGCUGGAAACGGCGGCUAAUACCGGAUGCUCCGGGGAGGCCCCAUGGCCUCCCCGGGAAAGCCCUGACGGCGCGGGAUGGGGUCGCGGCCCAUUAGGUAGACGGCGGGGUAACGGCCCACCGUGCCCGCGAUGGGUAGCCGGACUGAGAGGUCGACCGGCCACAUUGGGACUGAGAUACGGCCCAGACUCCUACGGGAGGCAGCAGUGGGGAAUUUUGCGCAAUGGGGGGAACCCUGACGCAGCAACGCCGCGUGCGGGACGAAGGCCUUCGGGUUGUAAACCGCUUUCAGCAGGGAAGACAUAGACGGUAC
RNAcentral lists this ribosomal RNA (433 nucleotides) under uncultured bacterium. Its description in RNAcentral is "bacterial SSU rRNA". It matches the Rfam family "Bacterial small subunit ribosomal RNA", at positions 28 to 478 of the family's 1533-position model. The record is from RNAcentral.